GGAUGCCUUGGCACUAGGAGCCGAUGAAGGACGUGAUAAGCUGCGAUAAGCUUCGGGGAGUUGCACGUAAACUUUGAUCCGAAGAUUUCCGAAUGAGGAAACUCACUUAGAGUAAUGUCUAAGUAUCAUUAAGUGAAUACAUAGCUUAAUGAGGGGAACUCAGGGAACUGAAACAUCUAAGUACCUGAAGGAAGAGAAAGAAAUUCGAUUCCGUAAGUAGCGGCGAGCGAACGCGGGUUAGCCCAAACCAAUAAAGUUUUCUUUAUUGGGGUUGCGGACAUAUCAUAACGAAGAGGAAUCGUAAUUGAAGAGGUUUGGAAAGACCCACCACAGAAGGUAAUAGUCCUGUAUGUUAAACGAGAAGACUUCAGAUAUGAUCCAGAGUACCACGGGACACGUGAAACCCUGUGGGAAGCAGGAGGGACCACCCUCCAAGGCUAAAUACUACCUAGUGACCGAUAGCGUAUAGUACC
RNAcentral lists this ribosomal RNA (473 nucleotides) under Clostridioides difficile. Its description in RNAcentral is "partial 23S ribosomal RNA". It matches the Rfam family "Bacterial large subunit ribosomal RNA", at positions 26 to 502 of the family's 2925-position model. Lineage: Bacteria; Bacillati; Bacillota; Clostridia; Peptostreptococcales; Peptostreptococcaceae. The record is from RNAcentral.